AAUAACGUAAUCAGCAUGUCAUCCUAUCGAAGUUAUACACCCUGGAAAUCAAACCUGGGCAGCUCCUACAAGCCGAGUACUUCUACGUAUACACUAGGAGGUGACCUAGGAAAUGGCUCCACUUCGCGCUACACAUCACUGGCCACACCCACUGCCUACAGACCAUCAUUUUCCGGUGGAACCUAUCGCAUCAAACGAGAUCCUCCAGCUCCAACACCUGUGACCAGCUACGUGAGUCGCUAUGGAAGCACUGCCAAGACAGAUGCCAAGGAGGCAGCUAGUUCCAGUGACAGGAGCAGCCCCAUCAAGCGGUACACGGGCACAACCAGCAAGUUGGGAAAGUAUGGCAGAUCUAGGGAUCCCAGUCCUGUGGCAUUAGAGCACACGAAUCACAGCAAGUCAAAGUCAAGGGACCCCAGUCCCGUGAUGGACAGCGCGAGAAGUAAACUGGGAGCUGCUUCCUAUCGCAGCAGUACCACAAGGAAUGCUUAUGGCAAUCGAUAUGGAUCAGGAGCAAGACCAAGUGCAAGUACCACGCUGGAUAAGUCCAUCUCGUACUUGACCACCAGUGAUUUUCACGCAAGGACUGCGAGUCGGGCAAAGGCGAGCAGGGAGAAGGAACUGGAGGAGCAUCUGGUACCUGAGGUGCCAGUGGAAUCCUCCAGAGAAUCUACAAAUGAAGAGGACGUUAUAAAGGAGCCGAAAGAGAAGCAGUUGGAAAAUCCGCCAGAGGAAACAUUUAUAUCCGUGGCCGUGGUCACCAGAGCCACCUCUCCUACUCCGCCAGGCAGCACCACUGUGCAGAGAACCCGACGCAUCGAUAUAGCCAAGACCAUUGAGAAGACCAUACAAAGGUCGACAAAGCCCCGAGAGACGCUGGAGAAGGAGAUUCAAUCGGAUCGGCUGGAUGACUCCACAAGAUAUUUGCGUUACAGCGCCGGCAGCAGCAGCAUCAGCUCCAACUACAGUUCCCACAGGGAUCGCAUCAGCAGUCUGCGCUACAAUGCGAGUCCUUCGGCCAACAGUCCUUCCCCCAAAUCGAGCACACCUAGCGUAGAGUCCAAGGAGUCGCCGACCUCCCCCGCCAAAAGUAAUGGCACAUCCGCCUCGGCAAGCGUUGCCAGCUCCAAGAGCAGUAGCAAGUCCAAGUUGUCGCCUCCGAAAGCGGUGCGUCUCAAUUCACGACAGUCCUCGGUGGAGAAUCUGGUUAACAAGCCGCCGACAGCUCCGGUCAAGGCAGAAUCUCCCACAAAGACCUGCGGCUCCAGCUCGAGCAGCUCCUUGGCCAAGUGGCCCUGGCCCAACAAGGAUUUUCGCAAGAGCUCCCUGAAUGUGGGACCCACAGAUCGACCUCGGAAAUCUCGCACGCCCAGCAGUGGCGGCGAAUCGGAGGAGCCAGCUGGAGUCGGAGAAGGAGGGCAGCUGGAACGUUCGCCGAGUUGUGGCAGCGAAGUUAGCGUUGCCUCCGCCAGCUCGGUGAGAAAGGGAGGCAAGUUAUCAAACGGCAAAUCAGCCUCAAAUCGCCAGCUAAAAGCUCACAAGUCAUGUGCUCCUAGUAAUGGUACUGCCAGCAGCUCGGCAACAUCUUCCGCCUCCGCUUCCGCAUCCGCUUCCUCGUCGGACAGCGAGCAGCGCGGGAAAGCAGCCAAAAAACAGAGCAAGAAAAAGUCGCCGGCAAACGGCGGACAGCAGAAAGAGAAGACAACGAAGGUCGUUGCCAAGCAGACAGGUGAGUGCGAUUCGGAUGAGAUUCAACGAUCAACAAUGGGACACCAAAAUAGCCACAAGUCUGUCACUGACUCACCUUCCGUCGAGGCAGUCAGACAGUCGCCAACGCAGCCGACGUCGCAGUCAGCGUCGCAGUCAGCGUCGCGUCUGCAGAAACUGUCGGCGGUGUCGAAUUUUUUCGCCACUCGUCAGCAAGACGCAAAUAGUGAACCGAUCUUCAUCGAAAGCUCCGAGAGCGCUGGUGAGGCAGAUGCGGCCCCCUCGAUGAUCAGUCUAUCGCAAGACACCCGAACGAACGAACUAACGACGCCAACAACGGCAAGUGGCGAAGUGAGGAAUCCUUCACUGACAACCACAACGACAACGAUCCCAACAACAACAACAAGCAGCUCAUUAAGUUCCACCACACACUGUCCCAGGGAGACAACGUCGCACUUGAAGAAGGAUAUCCUGCCCACUGAGAGUCUUACCAGCGAAGUGAAUCCCUCGCUGGAGCAGGAGGAUUUGGACGAACCCAGUUGGUGGCAGGACACCAGCUUGCAGAUCAACACGGCUUCAGCUCUGGACUACAACAAUCGUGGCGAGAUGCCUUAUAGACUGAGGCACAUUGACUCCGGAGAUGAGCAGGCCUGGUGGUUGCGCCAGGACGAAACUGUUGACGAGGACGACACGCUGGCGGAGGAAACGCUUAAUCCGCUGGACGAGGAACAGGAUUUGAGUGCGGCAACUGAGCCGCAGGGGGAGCACAGCAAGACGGGCUGGUGGAGUAGUAGCAACAACGAUAACGAAAAGGAAAAUCAAAUGGAAAAUCACAACGAAAAUAAUUCACUAGAAAGUCAACUAAAUGGCAAUGGAUUUGGGCCAGAAAUCGAGGUGGAUCACAGUCAGGCAGCCAAGAAAAUGCCAAGAAGUCGCAUUUCACCCGAGCACGAUGCCUGGUGGCUGGAGGAAGAUCAACAGCCAUCGCAGGAAAUCAAACAGAAUGGUUACCAUGAGGAGCCCCACGUGGAGGUGACCCUCAAGCUGCCCAGCAGCGAACGCAGCUCAAAGAGCAGUCAAAAGAAGUCAUCCAACUCGGGAGAUGCCUCCCAGCACUGGUGGCUCUCGGGACCCGCCAAGAAGCUCUUCAACGUGCAGCGAGUGGAGUCCGGGGAACGCGCCUGGUGGCAGGAGAAGGAGAAUGAGCCACCGCCGGUGAAGCCACCAACGCCUCCACCCCGCAUUAUCAAGCACUGGGAGUCGGGUGAGCGUGCCUGGUGGCUGCAGGACGAGGAUCAGAUGCCAGCACAAAGCAACGGCGAGGAAUUGUUGACGGUACCGACGCCUGCAGCCGACGAGGUCGAUCUGCAUAACGACAGAAUGCCGGAUGCACCCUCUGAGCUGAGCAGCUCCUUUAACUUUGCCUAUUCGGUGCGUCCGCCGCCGUUGGGACAGUGCGCCAGUCCCGUGCCGCCCGAGUCCGAAUCCGAGCAGCGAAAGCACUGCGCAUCGCCCUACGAUAACAUUCCAAUGUCAAAAGUUCAAAUGGCAGCCGUGCAGCUGCAGUCGCCGCCGCCGCCGGCGCAGUCGACGUCCCCGUCGACGUCAGCGCCCCGUUACUCGUAUGCCUCUCAGGCGGGACGCGUGGGCGAUAAGCUUUUCAUUUCGCGUCAUCAAAACAUCGAUGAGCUUUUAGGGGGCGCAUGCCGCCCCCUCAGUCCGCUCUUCUACAGCGGUGCCAUGGAGAGCGAAGCAACAUCGACGCUGCCGCCCGCUAACAAGAACAUAUUUCUGCUCGAAGAGAUUACGCCGGAUCAGGUGCGCAUUCACGAUAGCACCGCUCAGUUGCCGGUCAUACAGCGCAUGCAGCGCGACGUGGAAUGGCUAGAGAAUGGCAACAGCAGCAAUUUCUAUGAGCAGCAACAACAGCAGCCACAACAGCGCAGGAUCGAUGAUGCAGCCAUUCAAGUGUACAAGGAUGGUGACUAUGGCGCCUACUUGGAUCUCGAGUCAUCCCUCGCGGAGCAGACUGAAGAAAUCGAGGGCCUUCAAGCCAGUCGCAAAAAUUCACUGGUGAUUCGCACACAGUUGAGUGUGCGCGUUCAUGCCAUUAUUGAGAAACUCCUCUCAUCGGAGGGCAGCGAUUUGCGUCGUGCUUUAUUCUCCCUCAAACAGGUGUUCCAGGAGGAUAAGGAUCUCGUGCACGCCUUUGUCGCUCUGGGCGGUCUCAAUUGUCUCGUUCGCGUUGGCAAUUGUGCCGAUCAAAACUAUCAAAAUUACAUUCUUCGUGCCCUCGGCCAGGUCAUGCUCUAUGUGGAUGGCAUGAAUGGCGUUAUGAAGCACCAGCCCACCAUGGAGUGGCUCUACUCAUUGAUCGCCUCCAAUUACCGAUCAGUGGUCAAGACGGCUCUCAAGCUCUUGCUCGUGUUCGUCGAGUACGCCGAGUCUAAUUGUUAUGUGCUUGUGAGCGCCAUUCAUGCCGUGGAUUCCGCUCAAGGCACAGCGCCCUGGGCCAAUAUUAUGAGACUGCUUAAGGACUACGACAAUGCGGAUGCGGAGCUGGUGAUCUAUGCGACUUCGUUGAUCAAUAAAACUCUGGCUGGUCUGACAGACCAAGACAGUUUUUAUGAUGAAAGCGAUCUGCUGGAACAACAGGGCAUGGAAACAGUUAUACAACGCUAUAUGUCUAAGCCAGGAACAGAUUUGGAUCUGCUUGAUCAACUGCAGUUGUACGAGGCGGUAUUGAAAUUUGAGGAUGGCGAAUCGGAUGGUCAACGCUUGCCACAGAAUUCAAUGCGGAAGACGCAACGCCAUCGUCCUGGAACAGGCACCACAGAAAGACGCAAAUCACGACGUCACAGCACCGACAACAGUCCGGCUUCUUUGUCCAAAGUGUUGCCCACGACGGUGCUCAGGAUGACACCAACUCAAGCCACUCUCGAUGAGGAUGACAGCUCUGGCUCGACAAAUUCCACAGAGUUUAGCGGUGGAUUGUUCCAGGAAAAAAAGCCACGCGAUGGCGCUGGUGUGACGCCUGGUCUGAGACGUCGAAGGGAGCGGGCUGAGCGGCAUAAGAGCUUCCUCAAGGAACAGGAGGAGGCGGCAGCCAAUGGCAUCUUUGCGGCAAGGGAGCUGCGGGAGAAUUAUGGCCAAAUUGUUACCGCCAUUCCUGCUACCAUACAAAGUGGCGACAGUCCGCCGCAAUCAUUGCAACCUGAGUUGACCGCGUCUCCAUCCACACUAGAGUUCACAACACCCUGCAACAUAAUCAACAACAAUUCGAGCCACAACAACAACAUGCACUCGCAAAACAACAACAACAAUAACAGCCACAUUGACACGCCCAACAACAGUUUGUUGCUGAGUCCCACCAAGCAACUGUUGAGUGGCAGCCAGAGCAUUUCCAUCAUCAACAACAGCUUUGACAAGGCCAACAAUAAUACGAACAAUCAGAAUGAGUUCCUUACCAAAAAGAACCUCUUUCGGGAGCGCAACGCAACUGUGAUCAAUGGCAUCAUGAAGAAUAUACAGCAGACGGACAGUGCCUACAAGAAGUAUGAGAACGAUGCCAAUCGACUGAACAACUAUUACACACAACUCAGCCAAUCCCCAAAGCAUCUGUCUGCCGCAGCACAGGAUGUGCUCAGUCCCAAGAAAACUCUCAAUGGCAAUGGCUUUGAAUUCGCCACCGCCAGCUCGACGCCUCUCAAAUUGGAUGCGUUGCCAGCGCCAGAGCCUUUGAGUCCAAUACAUAAGCCAGUUGCAGUUGGUGCGCCACCACCGCCGCCUCCCCCACCACCGCCACCACCAGGCUGGUGGCAUUUUCCCACACAGCCAAAUGCAGCUAGAACUACCCUAACCAACAAUACUAACCCAGAGCCACAGUCUCAGCCUCAAACUCAACCACAACAGCAACAACUAGCUAUGGAUACGACAGAUCUGGAGAAUAAGGAUAUGCUGUUGCAGUUGAAACGUGAUCACACGGUCAAGGAUCUGACACAGAAACUGAGUAAUCUCCCCAGCAGUCCCACACAGGAUCCAGGCAAUCGCUCUAUUUGUGGCGAUAUGUCCGGCCUCAUAUCGAAAGCCAAAGAAGGUCUUGCCAAGAGCAAGAGCAAAGGUGAAAUAUCGCGCUCAUCGAGCGUUGAUCAGGAACUGAAAAAGGCUGAACCCAAGAAAUCGGAGAAUGAACUGCACUGGGAAGAACUCGUGCGCAGCAUGACACGACCCUUGAAUCUUUGUGAUCUGGACUUUACCGAUCUGCAUUCGGAUGAUGAGAAGGAUGUUCUGGCACCACGUGGUCUUGGCGUUGGCAUUCCACCUCCACCGCCACCACUCGCUGGUGGCAUGGUUAUGCCGCCCCCCAUGAUGCCACCCAAUCUCUUAUUGAGCUACGGCGUCGUACCGGGAAGUCUGACAAACAGCGUGAACAGCUCCCUAAAUGGUUCAGUGAACGGAGAACUUGCCAAUGGCAAUAACACCAUCAAGAAGAACAAGAAGACGGUCAAGCUCUUCUGGAAGGAAGUGCGUGAGGACAUGAUUCCCCAGGUGGUGGGUAAAACCAUUUGGGAUGAGCUGCCCAAUGCAAAUGUAGACACUCAAAAACUGGAGCAUCUCUUUGAGUCGCGGGCCAAGGACUUGAUGACCAAGAAACAACAAGAGCUGAAUAAGAGCAAGGAAGUCAUCGUGCUGGAUCACAAGCGCUCCAAUGCCAUCAACAUUGCAAUGACAAAGCUGCCACCUCCCCGGGCUAUCAAGACGGCGAUCCUCAAGAUGGACGCCACUGUGGUCACCAGGGAGGGCAUUGACAAGCUGCUGAAUAUGUUGCCCUCGGAUGAGGAGCGUGGCAAAAUACUGGAGGCCCAGUUGUCCAAUCCGGAGUUACCUUUGGGCAGCGCUGAGCAGUUUUUGCUGACCUUAGCUUCCAUUUCGGAGCUGGGCGCAAGGUUGAAACUCUGGGCCUUUAGAUUGGACUUUGACAAUUGCGAGAAAGAGAUUGCCGAACCACUGAUGGAUCUCAAACAAGGCAUUGAGAUUCUACGUCAGAAUCGCACAUUUCGUUGUAUUCUCUCCACGCUGCUGUCCGUGGGCAUCUUUUUGAAUGGCGCACCUGUGAAGGGUUUCCAGAUUGAGUAUCUGUCCAAGGUGCCCGAGGUCAAGGACACCGUUCACAAGCACUCGCUGCUGCAUCAUCUCUGCCACAUGGUCAUGGAGUCCUGCAGCGACACCAGUGAUUUAUACUCUGAAAUUGGUCCUAUAACACGCGCUUCCAAGGCCGACUUCACGGACUUGGCCCACAAUCUGAACCAACUGGAGGCCGAGUGCAAGGCCUCUUGGGAUCGGCUUAAGCUCAUUGCCAAACACGAUUGUGCACCGCAAUUAAAACAAAAGUUGGUUGACUUUCUGGCCGAUUGUGCGGAGCGUAUUAUCAUUCUCCAGAUUGUCCAUCGUCGCGUCAUGAAUCGUUACCGCAAGUUUCUAUUGUGGCUGGGCAUGCCCCAGCACAGUGUGGCCGAGUCGAGGCCCAAUGAGUUCUGUCGCAAUUUGUCAGAGUUCGCUUUGGAAUAUCGCACGACUCGGGAGCGUGUGCAGCAGCAGCUGGAGAAGAAGGCCAAUCAUCGGGAGCGCAACAAGACGCGCGGCAAGCUCAUCAUUGACAUGGCCAAGUUCAAGACCAAAGAGACGACCAAGGAGGAUGUAGCUGAUGCCGAGCUCAAGCAACUUUUGGGCACGCCCAGCGCGGAUCAGGCAGAUGGUACUCUGACUUGGCGUCGACGUCGUGCCGAGCAGCUUCGCUCGCCCAUUGCUCGUCAGAGCGAGGAGCAGUUCACUGAUGGCGAUGAUGAAAUACUCGAAUCUCUUGUGAAGACAGCCACAAAGGCGUCCGGUACACGGACCACGCCCCGUGAGCGCAAGCGUACGCGUCAUGCGGAUCGCAAGUCCUUGAAACGCAGUCGUACGCGCGAAGGAUUCACAAUUGAAAGAGCACCAUCGCCAUAGAAGGCGUAACCGUUACGUAACUGUUACCUUAACCGUUACCGUUAACCGUUACCGAAAAGAACAGCCAACUGUUUUUUAGGUCUUUACCUUUUUGUGCGUCGCACGCUGAAGAACGGUCUCACCGACGAGGAGAAACAGCAUGUGGCUGCCCUAAUACAAACAUAUUAGAGCUAAGGAAUUCCCCACCCCCUGCGAAUACAAUCCACAUCCCACGACCCUCAAUUUAACUCCCAGUGACGUCACAAGUCGGAGCAUCGCGCACACAGACUGAAAUUGGCGAUCUCACACGUACAGCAGCUGGAACUAGCCCCGGAACUGGUACUGGAACUGGCAUCGAUACUCCCCAAAUCUGAAACGAGAAAGUGCGCAAUCUUUUUGGCCACAAUCACAACCACAACAGCAACGAAAAAGUCCUUAAAGUUCUCUUAGUUUUUUUCUGUUAUUCGAUUUUUAUGUUUACUUCAGCUAAGUAUUAAAAUUAAUCAUAUUGUUAACAAUAACAAAAGCAAUCACAAC
Molecule: RNA transcript, 8223 nt
Organism: Drosophila innubila
Lineage: Eukaryota; Metazoa; Arthropoda; Insecta; Diptera; Drosophilidae
Gene: Fhos
Gene name: FH1/FH2 domain-containing protein 3
Exons: 20
Source: RefSeq, a predicted model, not a curated record